CCGUGAGAAAAACAUUUCUGGAAGGAAGGAAACCCGAGGACUGAGGACCGACACCAGGAAAUGGAGAUCUGACGUGGAGCAGAUCAAAAGGUAGGGAGAGUGGGGACGGACGGUUGCAACAAGACUCCUCCAUUCAGGAAUGAGCUAGAGUGAUGAUAUUACUACAUAUUCUUAUAUAGACCCUCCUUCAAUCUCAGAUAAAUCAUCCAUAUGCGACCAUUCCUUCAGGAUAAAGCCUGUUUUAAGAUGGCAGUGUUGCUUCACUGAGGUCAUAUUUAUUCUGCAGUGUGCUGGGACUCCUGGGUGGACCAAGAAGAUGGUUAAGAAUUGCAGCACUUGCAGCAACAGCAACAGCGGGCGGCAAUGACAGUGACUACUCUGUCCCAUGGAUCAAGAGAGUGAGCCCAUAGAGGAAGGAAAUCCCAAGACCGGAGAGCAGAAGGAAGCCAUUGAGGUUUGUGCUUCUGCAGAAUGUUGACAAUGAUGGCGAAGAUCAGAAUAACUGCUAUGGGGACAAGAACUCCCACGAGUACCUUCCAGCCGGCCAUAGAGAGACCAAAGACCAGUAGAGGCAAACCGAAGAAGCAAACGAUGAUGUAAAAGGCUGCAAACCAACGGUACUGGGCUGUUGUUUCACCAAGACCCUUUGCCAGUCGGAUGGGGAUUCGUGUGAUGGGGAUUGGGUACCACAACAAUAUCCCGGAUAAGUUGAAGAAGAGGUGAACCAAUGCAAUCUAUAGCAACCUGUCCCUUGAGCAUCGAAUUCAGCAGCUUCACAAUACAAAUGAGGCAAGUGCACAGAAUGAGCAGAGAACCCGCCAGCAGAAUCAGACCCACCGCCAGGUCCGAAAGGCUCGUGUUCACGAAAAUGUGACUGCCUGUGUGAAUAGAGAAUAACGUAAAAGAUCCUGGCCUGAGCAGAAGCACUGGUGCUGAUGGAGACCACGUUCAGAUCCAGACUCAGCUGUGCUGUUCUUCAGAGUGGCUCAGUCCGGCCUCUGUUGGGUCACAGGCAUUUAUAGCCCUCCGCAGAUCAUCCAGGAUUCCCCUGUUCCAAGGUUUACCACGGGACUGAUAACACUGUGCGACAGGAAGUUUGUCUGUGUGUGUGUGUGUGUGUGUGUGUGUGUGUGUGUGUCUGCGUGUGUGCAUGCGCAUGUGUGUGUGUGUGCUGUGCAUGGUUCAAAGUGUCCGCUGUGGCAUCAGAUAAAGUGGAUUUUAAAAGGUAAAAUAUAUAUAUAAAAGUCCUUAUUAGUAGUUAUGAUGGUAAUACACAGUAUGGCCUUUAUUACUGUAAGUUACAUAUAUACUGUAUUUCUGUUUUAGAUCAAAUACUGUUUAAUGUGGCUUUAUUAAAAUGUGUGUGUAUGU
Danio rerio (zebrafish) is the source of this 1371-nucleotide non-coding RNA. RefSeq annotates it as solute carrier family 34 member 2a antisense. The record is from RefSeq and is marked validated. Lineage: Eukaryota; Metazoa; Chordata; Actinopteri; Cypriniformes; Danionidae.